UGAUUAUGUACAGUAUAUGAAGAAAUAUGAGGCGGCACUGCUAAUAAUGUACCAGAUCACAGGUGCGGGACGAUAAACUGUGAGACCCAGCUGAGCGCGAAACACUCAGCGUUCUACACACUGUCCGCCCCAGCCCUCUGUAACUUCUAUCUUCAUUGAAAUUAAAGAAAAAUUUUGCCGCAAAGUGGUGAGUGCCGCUAUCAUUUAU
Long non-coding RNA from Bufo bufo (common toad), 208 nucleotides. RefSeq lists it as uncharacterized. Lineage: Eukaryota; Metazoa; Chordata; Amphibia; Anura; Bufonidae. The record is from RefSeq and is a predicted model, not a curated record. The transcript is spliced from 3 exons.